RNAcentral lists this transfer RNA (18 nucleotides) under Mochlus sundevallii (Peters' eyelid skink). RNAcentral's name for it is "Mochlus sundevalli partial tRNA-Tyr". Lineage: Eukaryota; Metazoa; Chordata; Lepidosauria; Squamata; Scincidae. The record is from RNAcentral.
UAUGAUAAGAACGGGACU